Molecule: ribosomal RNA, 253 nt
Filed under: uncultured bacterium
Lineage: Bacteria
Description: partial 16S ribosomal RNA
Rfam family: Bacterial small subunit ribosomal RNA
Source: RNAcentral
UACGUACCGUACGAACGUUAUUCGGAAUCACUGGGCUUAAAGAGUCCGUAGGCGGCCCAAAAGGUGAGGUGUGAAAUCCCACGGCUUAACCGUGGAACUGCGCUUCAAACCAUUGGGCUAGAGGGAGAUAGAGGAAAGCGGAACUGAUGGUGGAGCGGUGAAAUGCGUUGAUAUCAUCAGGAACACCGGUGGCGAAAGCGGCUUUCUGGGUCUCUACUGACGCUGAGGGACGAAAGCUAGGGGAGCGAACGGG